AGUCACUAAGAAGCUAUUAUAGCAUUAACCUUUUAAGUUAAAGAUUGAGGGUUCAACCCCCUCCCUAGUGAU
Molecule: transfer RNA, 72 nt
Filed under: Equus caballus (horse)
Lineage: Eukaryota; Metazoa; Chordata; Mammalia; Perissodactyla; Equidae
Description: tRNA-Lys
Rfam family: tRNA
About the family: Transfer RNA (tRNA) molecules are approximately 80 nucleotides in length. Their secondary structure includes four short double-helical elements and three loops (D, anti-codon, and T loops). Further hydrogen bonds mediate the characteristic L-shaped molecular structure. tRNAs have two regions of fundamental functional importance: the anti-codon, which is responsible for specific mRNA codon recognition, and the 3' end, to which the tRNAs corresponding amino acid is attached (by aminoacyl-tRNA synthetases). tRNAs cope with the degeneracy of the genetic code in two manners: having more than one tRNA (with a specific anti-codon) for a particular amino acid; and 'wobble' base-pairing, i.e. permitting non-standard base-pairing at the 3rd anti-codon position.
Source: RNAcentral